UGAGAACUGAUGACGUUGACGCUGCAUGGGAUGCGUAUACAUACACAAUAGUUGAAGAUGUAUACAACAUUAUAACAAUUGUCGAUAACCAAAUAUACCUUCGUCAGGCUCUGGAUUAUGAGUUACAAGACAAUUAUUCGGUUACAGUGAGGUCAACCGAUUCAGCUGGAUUGUGGGUAGAGCAGGAACUUGCCCUUCAAGUUCUUGAUACCAAUGAUUCCCCCAGUGGCGUGACGAUUACAAAUGAUAAAGUAAUAGAAAAUACUAAUGGUAACACGGCAGUCGGGUUUCUUCAAGCUGUAGACCAAGAUGCCGGACAAACAUACACAUAUACAUUAGUUGAUGACGCUCAAGGCAGGUUUAGCAUCUCUUCUGGCAAUCUACUACAAACAGCUCUCUCUGAUGCUGAAUGCCAGCAACUCUUCAAUGACGCGUGCUUCAACUAUGAGAGGCAACAGUACCACGAUAUCAUAGUUGCAGUUCAAGAUAACGGCAACCCAACAAAGACAGAGUACCACACUCUGAGGAUAUAUAUUGAGAAUACGAAUGAGCCACAUGCUGGACUAGAGAUCUCCUCAAAUGUUAUCGAGGAGGCAUUCACAUCAGGUGAGAUUUAAUGAAUUGUUUACAAUUAGGUCAUUUGAUGAACUUAUCAGAUACAAGUUGUGAUCAUAAACUAUG
Molecule: long non-coding RNA, 681 nt
Organism: Anneissia japonica
Lineage: Eukaryota; Metazoa; Echinodermata; Crinoidea; Comatulida; Comatulidae
Exons: 4
Source: RefSeq, a predicted model, not a curated record